AUUGAACGCUGGCGGCAUGCCUUACACAUGCAAGUCGAACGGCAGCACGGGUGCUUGCACCUGGUGGCGAGUGGCGAACGGGUGAGUAAUACAUCGGAACAUGUCCUGUAGUGGGGGAUAGCCCGGCGAAAGCCGGAUUAAUACCGCAGACGAUCUACGGAUGAAAGCGGGGGACCUUCGGGCCUCGCGCUAUAGGGUUGGCCGAUGGCUGAUUAGCUGGUUGGUGGGGUAAAGGCCUACCAAGGCGACGAUCAGUAGCUGGUCUGAGAGGACGACCAGCCACACUGGGACUGAGACACGGCCCAGACUCCUACGGGAGGCAGCAGUGGGGAAUUUUGGACGAUGGGCGAAUGCCUGAUCCAGCAAUGCCGCGUGUGUGAAGAAGGCCUUCGGGUUGUAAAGCACUUUUGUCCGGAAAGAAAUCCUUGGCCCUAAUACGGUCGGGGGAUGACGGUACCGGAAGAAUAAGCACCGGCUAACUACGUG
RNAcentral lists this ribosomal RNA (486 nucleotides) under uncultured bacterium. RNAcentral describes it as "partial 16S ribosomal RNA". It matches the Rfam family "Bacterial small subunit ribosomal RNA", at positions 30 to 507 of the family's 1533-position model. The record is from RNAcentral.